AUGGUUGAAUCGACGCCACCAAAUCAUGGGGGCGAAAAGAAAAGGGUGGUAUUGCAAUUAUUUAAGAAUGACGAGUAUGCUUCAUACGACACUGAGAAAAAAAAAAGGAAAAACAAGACUCCAUCAGAGUGUACAAAUGAUUCCGAGGACACGAACAGUAAAAAGAGGAAAAUCGGCUCUAACAACUUAAAAAAGAGGUCAGAAGUUCCUGAAACCCAGAAGGACCAGCUAGACGUGGUUCGACAGGAUUUCGUGGCGUCACUGAUCAACACUACAAAUCUUGAAAAACAAAUGGUCUUAGUUGAUGACAUUGUUGUGCUAUCAAAGCAUUUGCAAUGCCUCACCCAUAAAGAUGAAUCUGAAGAUGGCGUAUGA
RNAcentral lists this ribosomal RNA (375 nucleotides) under Triticum aestivum (bread wheat). RNAcentral describes it as "partial small subunit ribosomal RNA". The record is from RNAcentral. Lineage: Eukaryota; Viridiplantae; Streptophyta; Magnoliopsida; Poales; Poaceae.